Long non-coding RNA from Medicago truncatula (barrel medic), 183 nucleotides. RefSeq lists it as uncharacterized. The transcript has 2 exons. NCBI's taxonomy places the organism in Eukaryota, Viridiplantae, Streptophyta, Magnoliopsida, Fabales, Fabaceae. The record is from RefSeq and is a predicted model, not a curated record.
AUUUACUCUAUAAUUUCAUAUUUAUGACAACUGUAGUGCCAAAGACAACCUUUCAAUUAUGAGUGUGGCUACUUUAUAAUGAUACAUAUGUUGAACAUUGUAUCAGCUGGCAUUACCGACUCAUGGAAUAUGAUUUUUGGAGACGAAACUCCGUUUACUGAUGAUGAAAUGACAAAAGUUCAA